This 257-nucleotide long non-coding RNA is filed under the name dengue virus type 2. Its description in RNAcentral is "Dengue virus type 2 partial sfRNA2". The stretch from base 170 to 241 matches the Rfam family "Flavivirus DB element". Lineage: Riboviria; Orthornavirae; Kitrinoviricota; Flasuviricetes; Amarillovirales; Flaviviridae. The record is from RNAcentral.
AAGAAGUCAGGCCACUACAAGUGCCAUAGCUUGAGCAAACUAUGCAGCCUGUAGCUCCACCUGGGAAGGUGUAAAAAAUCUGGGAGGCCACAAACCAUGGAAGCUGUACGCAUGGCGUAGUGGACUAGUGGUUAGAGGAGACCCCUCCCUUGCAAGUCGCAGCAACAAUGGGGGCCCAAGGUGAGAUGAAGCUGUAAUCUCACUGGAAGGACUAGAGGUUAGAGGAGACCCCCCCGAAAUAAAAAACAGCAUAUUGA